Molecule: ribosomal RNA, 230 nt
Filed under: uncultured bacterium
Lineage: Bacteria
Description: partial 16S ribosomal RNA
Rfam family: Bacterial small subunit ribosomal RNA
Source: RNAcentral
AAAGCGUGCGCAGGCGGUUUUGUAAGUCUGUCGUGAAAUCCCCGGGCUCAACCUGGGAAUGGCGAUGGAGACUGCAAGGCUAGAGUUUGGCAGAGGGGGGUAGAAUUCCACGUGUAGCAGUGAAAUGCGUAGAUAUGUGGAGGAACACCGAUGGCGAAGGCAGCCCCCUGGGUCAAAACUGACGCUCAUGCACGAAAGCGUGGGGAGCAAACAGGAUUAGAUACCCGAGU